GAUGAGUUAGAUCUCCGAGUUGUGGUCUUUCUUUUAUCGGUCAGUCAAUAUACAUUGGACUAAGUUUUUCAACUUGAUGGCUGUUGCUUAACUUGUCCAGUCAUAUUGUUGGCAAGUAGAGGAUUCUUUGGAGUGUUUUAUUUGAUCUAUUUAGAAGGAUAUGAAGUAUUUUAUUUUGUUCCAGCAUACACCUUUUCUAGUUAUAAGCUUCUUAAUUAUGUUCACUAUUGCAAUUUCGUCAUUGAAAUUGACUCUCAAACGGCGGUUGCGUCUUCAUUCAACCCCAAUAAGGAAUUAAAAUAUAACGCGAUAUCUUCAUGGAACCUCACAAAAGCAAAUUUUCUUUGACCGCCAGUUCUACCCUUACUUGCUGAUUUUAAUUUAUAAUUGGGAUUCAAAGAAUUUCCAUUCUUUGACACGUAUUUGAAUUAAGGCACGCACGCAGUGACGCAUUGGAGGAGUAAAAUCAUCCUAAUUCCUUUCUUUACUUCAAUUAUUUUCACACCAGCAUAUAUAUACACAACAUCUCAUAUCUUGACUGAAACUAUAUAGAAGAAGAAAACAUGGAUUCAAACACUCUUGUUGAAAGCAAAUGUAAACCUGAAGCAGCGGUUUUUUGUUCUCCAAGACCGCUCUCUGAGCUUGAUGCUGCUGCAACUACAAUUCAAAAGGUUUACAAGAGUUAUCGUACUAGAAGAAACCUUGCAGAUUGUGCUGUUGUAGUGGAAGAAUUAUGGUGGAAAGCAUUGGAAUUUGCUGCUCUAAAAAAGGAUAUUGGAUCCGCCGCUGCAAUACUGCAUCUGCAAUCAAAGUAUCCAAAUCCCUAAAACUAUUCACAGACAACAAUGGAGAACUCUCCUAUUUUUAUCUUGAGAUACCCAAUUCAAUUCAUUAUAAAAAUAAGUAUUCAAUCGUAAUUUUACUAUAUUUUCUUAUUCUUGUUCUCUCGUUUUUUCCUUCUUAAUCAUGGAUAUCCAAUAGUUUAUACUUCUUUCCAAAUAAAAUAUGAUGUAUUUCAUUAAAAAUUAAAAUAAAAUAUAUUAAUUUUUAAUUAUUUUUUUACUUAUAUUUCAUAUCAGAUUAGCAUUAUCUAUUUUAUCAAUGAUUUAUGAGAUGUAACAUUUUAUAUUUUUUAAAUUUUUUUACGAUCUAUAAUAAUUACUGCAAUAGAAGCAAAAAUUAAUUAUUUAUCAUCAAUAAUAAAUUAAUAAAAUAAUUUAAAUUAUUAAUAAAAUUAAAACUAUUGUCUAACUUUUUAUAAUUUAAUCAAACAAGGUUUUUUUUAUAUAUAUAAGAAAUAUACUCAUAUAUGUUUUCAUAAAAAAAAAUAGUAGUAAUAUAUGCUCCUCUAGCAUUUAAUAAAGGAUGUGUCAACUACUAUAUUUUCAGCCUAAAAAUGGUUGUAAAACUAGUAAUAGCAUGGGACAACAAAUAUUGCAACCCUUCUAUCUCAUUUUCUUCAAGACACGGCCCGUUUCACUGGUCAAAUACAUAUGAUAAAACUGCAAUUCUGUAUGACUAUUUUACGUAUUUUUCUGUUGCUUUAGAUUAGGCCUAUGUAUAGCUGGAAUAUUAUUUUCUGACACAUAUAUAUUAAAGAAAAAAUAAACAACUUGGCAAAAGAUUGAUUCAAAACUGCAUUAGAUUAUUAGCACUAGUAUGAAUUAAUGUGACUUAUCUCAACUUGUUAAUUAGCGUUGAGAGCAGGACGCGGCGGGUGACAAGUUGCACAAAAACUACUGAAUAUUACUAAGAGUUUAGUUAUGUAAUUUUAAUAUAUACUUGAAUUCAAUUUUUUUGAAAAUUAGUGAUUAAUGUUAUUUUAAUAUAAAAAAAUAUUUCUCAUUUAAAAAAAAAAGGUUACUAAACAUGUCUCCAUAAGUACAAGUACAGUUUAAUUAUCACAAUUUGAUUUUCUUAUUCUCCUCACAAUAUAAAUAUUAAUAUUCAAUAAUCACUUCAAAAAUAAUAUAUACAAGAAUAAAUAUAUUCUUUAAGGAUAAAUGUACUCUGAAAUUGAAAUUCAGUUAAAACCAUUUCAAUUUUAUAAAAUAUAAUUUUAUGCAGUUUGAUUGUUGAGCCAAUGAAUAUUGAAUAAAAUAAUAUAUACUAUAUUACUACACAUUUUAACACAUAUUUUAUAAGGCACCAUAUUUAAUUGAUUAAAAUAUAAAUUAGUUCUCCAAAUUCAUACGAGACUCAUGUAAAUUUUAUUAAAUAAAAAAAAUAUAUAAACAAAUGUGGCUUAAAGAGUAUUAUUAGCACUUGUCUUGAAGGAGCUUCCGGAUUCAUCUCCACAACAAAAUGUAAUUGUUACUAACUUUUUUUGGGAGAUAUUAUAUCUUAUUACUUCUUAUAUUUCGUAAAAAAAAAAUUAUUUUUCACCAAUUUAUUUAUAAAAGUUAUUUAGAUUAUUGAACCUAUAGUGUUACAAAUUAAAUAUCAUAAAAGUAUUUAUAUAUAUAUAUAUAUAUAUAUAUAUAUAUAUAUUCACAAUAGAUUUGAUUAUUCUAAAAUUAGAUAUUAGUAAAAUGAAUAAAUUAAUUAUUAAUAUUAGAACUAUUUAUUAUUAAUCAUACAUGUGUAUAUAAUAUUAAUAAUAUCAAUUAUCAUUAUGUUUAAUAAAAACUGAUAUUGUUCACUUUAUAAAUGAUUUUAUUUUAUAGUGGCUAACAUUAUAAAUACCACUUUUAAAAAUUAUCAUUCUUCAGGUUAAAUUUAUGAUAAUGAGAAAAUAUCAAUGAUUAUUAAAAAUAAAUUAGUAAAAUCACAAUUUCUUUCUUUUUCAUUUUUUUAAUUUAUGUAAAAUAAACAAAAAUAACACUUUUUGUGAGAGCUAGAAAAGAAGUAUAUACUUCACCAAGAAAAAAAAAGUAUAUACUAUGAAUUUUUUUGUAAUAAACCACUUACCAAAAUUGUCCCAAUUGUGGAGUAGUAAACAAUAAUAUGAAAUUUCAACAACGACAUACGUUACUUGAUGGAACUAAAAUUUUGACUCCCCAUUGAUACAAAUCGAAAAGAAUAAGUUAAAACAAAGAUUAGCACCUCAAAAUUAAUUUCAUAUUUGCUUCAUUUUCUUUUUAUCAAAUAUAAUUGUGCCACUAUCUCAUUAACAAGAACAAUAAGGACUUUGAUGGCAAAUUAUUUUAAAAUUAUACACAUUUAAAUAAUUGUGAAUUUCUGUUUAACGUAUUAAAUUCAAUAAACAAAUCCCAUAUCUCGUUUUUGUUUUUUGUUUUCUUUCAUUUCGGUUGAGGUGCCGUCCCCUUCAAUUCAACGGUUCAUAAAAAAUGUGAAUUGGGAGUGUGUAUGUGAUUCUUGAUAGGGUCAUUGGAAUAAUAAUGAAAACUAUUGCAAUAACAGCCAAAAAUCAUCAAAUUCCACAAUAUAUAGUACAUUAUGUGUGCUGUAUUAAUUAAUUAAUUAGUGUAGUACGUGUGCAGAAUUGAGUAAAAAAUUAGUUUCCGCGCUUAUAAAUAUAAAAUUCCAUUUAUUAAAUUGUAAAUCAGAAACUUAGUAGCAUUAAAUGGAGUAAACAUUAGUAUUAUUUAUUACUUACUAAAAAAGUGAGAUCAUGUAUAUUCAAAAGAUUUAUUUUAAGUGAUAAAUGUCAAAAUUAUUAUAUUAACUCUCAAAUUUAAAUUCAAAAUAUCAUAUUUGUGAGGAAAUUUUUUAUCAUUUAAUCUACACCAAAAACAUACACCUAUCACAAUUAAAAAAUUAAAGGUUUGCUAAUUAACCAUCCACACCAACCGAUGACUACCCAGAGCACCCUAUAUAUAGAAGGAUAAUACUCGAGGAAAAGUUUUAUCGUUAAUUGUGGUUUUAUUCAACUUGACAGAAAAUUUCAAUUAAAAAUAAAAUUAAUGAUCUAAUAUCAAUGAAGAUGAAACGUACGUUGUGAUCAUGUUAUUUUUUUAAAUUAAAAAUUAAUUACAUGUCAUUUAAAAUUAGAUAGAAAAUACAAAAUGACAAAUGAUAAAAAUGUUAGAGAUUAACUGUAAAUGUCGAUGCUCUUUUUAUAGAGUAAACUACAUCAUUUAUUAACCACCUGAUCAAACUAUAUAACAUCAUAAUUUGUAAAAUAUCUAAGAAGAAGUUUGCAAGAAUUCAAAAUAGCGUCAAACUCAAAUAUAUGACCAAGAGACUCACAAAGACAAUUAACAAUCUCCCUUAUUAUCUAACUCAAAAAAUACAUUUUAGAGGUUGAAGUCUCUCACCCAUCAUAGAGUUUAUGAACAUGUUCUUUUAUUUGGUGUGUAAGAUCGAGUCAACCAAAAUUACCAUUUAAUUCAAGUUUUUGACAUAAAUAAUACUACAUGCGUUCCUAAAUACAUGACAUUAGUACUAACUAAAUUACAGGAUUUAAAAUAGUUGGUAAUAAUAUAUAAUUUAUUUAUUUUUUCCGUCACAUAUGAAUAUUUAAUGUUUAUAAAAAAAAAAGUAAAAUAAUUAGAGAUAAAAAGAUACUUGAGGUGUUGGUUAAGUGCUAAGAGUUUAAUUUGUGGAUAAUUAUAAAAUUAUUAUUAAUGUCACUUUAAUUAUAUACAAAAUUUAAAGAUAAAAGUAUUAAUUCGAAUUAGACUAAACUGGACGGUCAACUUCAGUGCUCGAAGAACGAUUCGUAUCAAAUGACAGGAUGAUAUAUUUACCGAUGUAGGAAAUACACUGUUUAUAAGACAAAAGUAUCAACCUAGAGGAGCAUAAGAGCAAUGUAUGAGUUUCAAUGUCGUGGAUUCAACAAGAUCGUCUAGUUAGAUUAAAUCUGACCACUAACUCUCAAAAUCUUAAAUUUUUUACACUAGAUGGUGGUAUUAGACCGAAUAGGCAUGUAAAUUAGAAUUAGACUUGGGAUAAAAUUAGUAGUACUCUUACAAUAUAUUUGUGUUAAACAUGAAUUGAAAUUAUAAAAGUUGACUUGAGAUAUAUUGUUUAAUUAUUUGACCAUUUGCAACUGCUAUCAUUGAAUUUUCUAUAAUACUAAAUUACUAAUACUGUAGUAUUAAAAAAUGGAGGUACAGAAUUCAAACCCAAUAAAGAAUGAAAAUACAGAUAUAAAGCGAUAAUAGCAAAUGGUGUUUCUUCAUGGAACCUAGCAAAAGCAAACUUUCUUUGACCGCCAGCUCUUACCCUUACACUGCUUGCUCUCUUUAAGAAAGAAAAUAAACUAAAUACUAAGUUAACAUUCCUAUUUUAUUUUAUAUGUUAACGUUUUCAAAAUAAUAUUUUGUUAAUUUUAAUUUUUUAUAUUUUAAGAUAAAUUAAUACACGUAAUAAAUUAAAAUAAUAUUCAUUUAGAGAUAAUGUAAAAAAAAAGUGUUUAUAAUUAAAAAUAGAGGUAGUACAAUGCAAACACAACCUUUAUUUAUAAGCGAUUCCCACAAUACUGAAAAUGAGAAUUCAAACUACCAACCAAGCUUUGAAUUGAUCAAAUAACUCGUGUGUCUAGUAGAAAGUAACCUUGAAAUUAGAACAUUAUAUUCACAUACCUUUAUUUAUUUAUUUAUUUAUUUUUUGUUCAUAUUCAAAAUUGUACAUUCGUAAUUGGAAUUCAAAGACUGCUCCUUAAUUCUCUCAAUUUAUAGUCUUUGACACGUAUUUGAAGGCACGCACGCAUUGGAAGAGUAAAGUCUAUAAGUAAGCAAAUGAGAAACACUGAUAAACCCAUCUUAAUUCCUUUAUUUUGUUCUACUUAUACUUCUAUAGUUUUCAUCAACUUACACACAAAGAUCUCAUAUCUUGAUUCAAAGUGUACUCAUACACCAUCCAACAAAGGUAAAAUACUCUUCAUGUUUUUAGUGUUUAUUUCUUGCUUAAAUAAUAAUUAUAGUAAGAGAUUAUUUUUUAUGCCUCCAUAGUAAAACUUUUGUAAAAAUGCAUUAAAGUAUUAAGAUAGUCUAUAACUGUUAUAAGGUGCAAUUUAUUUCUUUAAAUUUAAUAGUCUAUACAACAACCAACAACCGUAUAUUGCCUAAGUCAUAAAUCAAAUCAUAUCAUUAUGUUAAUUUAUUAUAUUAAUUCUUAAAUUAAUUUUACACUAAAUAUAUAGGCUAUAUUGGAGUAUUAUAUAGUAAAAAAAUGCAUUAUCCACUUCAUUUAUUUUAUUUGAAGUUUUAAGAUUUACAAUUGUUGGAGGUUAAUUAUGUAACUUUACAAUAUGACAGAUUUCAAAUCCCAUUUAUGUCUUGGCUGCUAAAUUAUAUAAAUAUUUUGUGCAGAUUUGUGGGGUAUUAUAUUAUAAAUGGGGGUAUCUGUUACUGAUUUAUCAAAUGGAUCCAAUAAUAUGAGCAGUUCAAGUCGGUUAAGUGAUUACAGACCUCAACAUAUGAUUCUUGAAAAAAUUCAUUCAUUUGUUAAAGAAGAAAAAAUGGAUUCAGAAAAACUUGUUGAAAGCAAAAGUGAUUCUGAAAUGAAAUGUAAACAAGUUCCAGUGAUUUCUCUGCCUGAAGCAGUGGUUUUUUGUUCUCCAAGACCUGUGUAUGAGCUUGAUGCUGCUGCAACUAAACUUCAAAAGGUUUACAAGAGUUAUCGUACUAGAAGAAACCUUGCAGAUUGUGCUGUUGUAGCAGAAGAGUUAUGGUGGAAAGCAUUGGA
This 6594-nucleotide long non-coding RNA is filed under the name Cicer arietinum (chickpea). RNAcentral's name for it is "long non-coding RNA (CARI_LNC002184)". Lineage: Eukaryota; Viridiplantae; Streptophyta; Magnoliopsida; Fabales; Fabaceae. The record is from RNAcentral.